Cyprinus carpio carpio is the source of this 257-nucleotide long non-coding RNA. The record is from Ensembl. Lineage: Eukaryota; Metazoa; Chordata; Actinopteri; Cypriniformes; Cyprinidae.
ACAACACCCACGUAAUCCAAUUUGGUGAGAUUGGAUUCUGUAGCUCAUGACAAAAUACCAAGAUGAGAGGGAGAAAAGGAUGAGAUGAGAGGGGAAGUAGCGGGAGGCAGAAGGUUUUAUGUUGUGCUGUUUGUCUCCAGCAAAGGACAAGUGCUGAGAGAAGCAGAAAAGACAGUCCUGAAAAAAGUGCAUUAUGAAGGUGCAAAAGAAGAUGAGGAUGAAACAAAAAGAGCAACAAAACGACGCUCCAAAUUUUG